GGAUUGAACGCUGGCGGCAUGCCUAACACAUGCAAGUCGAACGGGAGUAGCAAUACUCUAGUGGCGGACGGGUGAGGAAUACGUAGGAAUUUGCCCUUAAGUGGGGGAUAACCCGGGGAAACCCGGAUUAAUACCGCAUGACCUCGAAAGAGCAAAGUGGGGGAUCGCAAGACCUCACGCUUUUGGAGAAGCCUACGUCGGAUUAGCUAGUUGGUGAGGUAAUGGCUCACCAAGGCGACGAUCCGUAACUGGUCUGAGAGGAUGAUCAGUCACACCGGAACUGAGACACGGUCCGGACUCCUACGGGAGGCAGCAGUGGGGAAUAUGGACAAGUGGGCGCAAGCCUGAUCCAGCAAUGCCGCGUGUGUAGAAGGAAGGCCGUUACGGGUUAGUAAACGACGUAACGUUUUAAGGUUAGGGUAAAG
RNAcentral lists this ribosomal RNA (425 nucleotides) under uncultured soil bacterium. Its description in RNAcentral is "bacterial SSU rRNA". It matches the Rfam family "Bacterial small subunit ribosomal RNA", at positions 27 to 458 of the family's 1533-position model. The record is from RNAcentral.